Molecule: non-coding RNA, 72 nt
Organism: Myotis lucifugus (little brown bat)
Lineage: Eukaryota; Metazoa; Chordata; Mammalia; Chiroptera; Vespertilionidae
Source: Rfam
GGCAAUCGUGUGAUGUACCCUGGAAUCAGGCUCCCUCCUCGCUGGUUCCAGGUGCAUCACCCAAGAACCGCA